This 707-nucleotide ribosomal RNA is filed under the name uncultured Glomeromycotina. RNAcentral's name for it is "eukaryotic LSU rRNA". It matches the Rfam family "Eukaryotic large subunit ribosomal RNA", at positions 58 to 632 of the family's 3401-position model. The record is from RNAcentral. Lineage: Eukaryota; Fungi; Glomeromycota.
AAAGAAAAUAACAAUGAUUCCCCUAGUAACUGCGAGUGAAGAGGGACAAGCUCAAAUUUUAAAUCUAUCGGGUUUUACCCGAUCGAGUUGUAAUUUGAAGAAGCGUUUUCUGCGUUUUUGGUCAGCCCAAGUCCUAUUGAAUGAGGCAUCAUGGAGGGUGAUAAUCCCGUCCGGUUGAUCAUUUGCGUUUUACGAUACGCUUUCUAAGAGUCAAGUUGUUUGGGAUUGCAGCUUAAAAUGGGAGGUAAAUUUCUCCUAAGGCUAAAUAACGGCGAGAGACCGAUAGCGAACAAGUACCGUGAGGGAAAGAUGAAAAGAACUUUGAAAAGAGAGUUAAACAGUACGUGAAAUUGUUGAAAGGGAAACGAUUGAAGCCAGUCGUACCUUCGGGUAAUCAGCCUUUCGGGUGCGAUUCUGUGGAGUGUGAGGAGCUUAACACCUUCAUGCUUUGCAUAUUUGUGCUCUUGGGUGUACUUGCCCGUGUGGUUGGUUAACAUCAAUUUUGAUUAUCAUAAAAUGACUGGAGGAAUGUAGCUUCGAUCUCGUAUUGAAGUGUUAUAGCCUUCGGUAGAUGUGAUGAUCGAGAUUGAGGAUUGCAACGGAUACCCUUCGGGGCCACCUGUCUGGUCUCUGAUCGUUGCUCUGGUGCCGAAAGCGUGCUUACGGUUAUCAAAGUCGAUGGUCAAUAGGUUAGAACGGGUUAAAUU